RNAcentral lists this ribosomal RNA (440 nucleotides) under uncultured bacterium. RNAcentral's name for it is "partial 16S ribosomal RNA". It matches the Rfam family "Bacterial small subunit ribosomal RNA", at positions 338 to 795 of the family's 1533-position model. The record is from RNAcentral.
CCUACGGGAGGCAGCAGUGGGGAAUAUUGCACAAUGGGGGAAACCCUGAUGCAGCAACGCCGCGUGAGUGAAGAAGUAUUUCGGUAUGUAAAGCUCUAUUUGCAGGGAAGAGAAUAACGGUACCUGACUAAGAAGCCCCGGCUAACUACGUGCCAGAAGCCGGGGUAAUACGUCGGGGGCAAGCGUUAUCCGGAUUUACUGGGUGUAAAGGGGGCGUAGACGGCUGUACAAGUCUGAAGUGAAAGGCCGGGGCGAAACCGCGGAACUGCUUUGGAAACUGUAAAUCUGGAGUACUGGAGAGGCAGGCGGAAUGCCUAGUGUAGCGGUGAAAUGCGUAGAUAUGAGGAGGAACACCAGUGGCGAAGGCGGCCUGCUGGACAGAAACUGACGUUGAGGCUCGAAAGCGUGGGGAGCAAACAGGAUUAGAUACCCGAGUAGUC